RNAcentral lists this ribosomal RNA (527 nucleotides) under uncultured bacterium. RNAcentral's name for it is "partial 16S ribosomal RNA". It matches the Rfam family "Bacterial small subunit ribosomal RNA", at positions 355 to 873 of the family's 1533-position model. The record is from RNAcentral.
UGGGGAAUAUUGCACAAUGGGCGCAAGCCUGAUGCAGCCAUGCCGCAUGUGUGAAGAAGGCCUUCGGGUUGUAAAGCACUUUCAGCGAGGAGGAAGGUGGUGAACUUAAUACGUUCAUCAAUUGACGUUACUCGCAGAAGAAGCACCGGCUAACUCCGUGCCAGCAGCCGCGGUAAUACGGAGGGUGCAAGCGUUAAUCGGAAUUACUGGGCGUAAAGCGCACGCAGGCGGUUUGUUAAGUCAGAUGUGAAAUCCCCGGGCUCAACCUGGGAACUGCAUUUGAAACUGGCAAGCUAGAGUCUCGUAGAGGGGGGUAGAAUUCCAGGUGUAGCGGUGAAAUGCGUAGAGAUCUGGAGGAAUACCGGUGGCGAAGGCGGCCCCCUGGACGAAGACUGACGCUCAGGUGCGAAAGCGUGGGGAGCAAACAGAUUAGAUACCCUGGUAGUCCACGCUGUAAACGAUGUCGAUUUUGGAGGUUGUGCCCCUUGAGGCGUGGNUUCCGGAGCUAACGCGUUAAAUCGACCGCC